UACGGAGGGGGCUAGCGUUGUUCGGAAUUACUGGGCGUAAAGCGCACGUAGGCGGCUUUGUAAGUUAGAGGUGAAAGCCCAGGGCUUAACCCUGGAAUUGCCUUUAAGACUGCAUCGCUAGAAUCGUGGAGAGGUGAGUGGAAUUCCGAGUGUAGAGGUGAAAUUCGUAGAUAUUCAGAAGAACACCAGUGGCGAAGGCGACUCACUGGACACGUAUUGACGCUGAGGUGCGAAAGCGUGGGGAGCAAACAGGG
RNAcentral lists this ribosomal RNA (254 nucleotides) under uncultured bacterium. RNAcentral describes it as "partial 16S ribosomal RNA". It matches the Rfam family "Bacterial small subunit ribosomal RNA", at positions 524 to 777 of the family's 1533-position model. The record is from RNAcentral.